CGGCAAGCGCUUAUGACAGUUGGCAGUGUUCAUAGCGUACUGGAAAGCAAUUUGCGAACACACGUACCAACUGUGUGGGAAUUUUGCAUUGGAAGUGUGGAAACUAUGUUGUGGCGUACAAUUGGCUUCUUGGAAGUAAGCAUCUCAACAACGACAAGGGAUUGUACCGGAUUGUAUAUCCACCCUAGCACUGUAAGCUUUGGCGCAAAAACGUUUAAAAAGUUGCUUUAUCAAACUACCACAACAGAAAAUUAUUUUUGCAGUAAAUUUUAUGAUAACACCUAGUGAGCGUUUCAAAGAAGAUACUAUCUGAUACCAUUUGAUUUUGAUUUUGCAGAUUGAAAUUUGAUUCAAACUAAUUAAAGGCAGGAAAAAAUUGUUUCCUACAUUGGUACGACCUUUUUUAUGUUCUUGUGAAGUUUGAUCUCCAUGUGUCGAAAAGUGUAUAAAAUGCAUUUUUUUUUGGUAAAUUUAUCCGACUUUGCAUAAGUUUUGUGCAAUUGGUGUGCAAGCAAUUUCUAAAAAAAAUUCUUUUGUAUGUUUAUUAAUUUCAUUUGUUUAGCAAAAAACAAAAUCAAAUGUAUGUAUUAGAAUAUGUGUACUAAAGGGUAUGUUAAAGUUACCAUUACUUCACGUCAGUGAAGAAAACUUUGUAAGUCAUGUCGGACCAGUUGACUGACAGCUAAAAACUUUACGAGUCAACAAAGUUAAAUAUUUGAACACAAACAACUAACCAUAUGGUGCUAAAAUGAAAUAAACAUUAAUUUACUAGGAAAGUCAUCAUUUAUUAAAUAACCAGACGGAAGAAUCAAAUCGAAAGAGUUGGUUUAACUUCGUAGUAGCGGCAGCUGCAACUAAAGUAAACUUGAGUAAUGAAAUUCCAACAUACAAAUACAUAUGUGAGAAGUACGAAAUCAACAUGCUGUUGUUUAAAGCAAAUAAAAGUGAAGUGACUAACACAAGGUAGAAA
Long non-coding RNA from Bactrocera neohumeralis, 970 nucleotides. RefSeq lists it as uncharacterized. The transcript has 2 exons. Lineage: Eukaryota; Metazoa; Arthropoda; Insecta; Diptera; Tephritidae. The record is from RefSeq and is a predicted model, not a curated record.